This 2226-nucleotide long non-coding RNA is filed under the name Equus caballus (horse). Its description in RNAcentral is "lncRNA (ENSECAG00000046636.1)". The record is from RNAcentral. Lineage: Eukaryota; Metazoa; Chordata; Mammalia; Perissodactyla; Equidae.
UUUUUUUUUUUUUUGUUGAAGAAGAUUGGCCCUGAGCAAACAUAUGUUCCCAAUCUUCCUCUGCUUUGUAUGUGGGAUGCUGCCAUACCAUGGCUUGAUAAGCGGUGUGUAGGUCCACACCGGAGAUCGAACCUGCUAACCCUGGGCUACAGAAGCAGAGCACGUGAAUUUAACCACUAGGCCAUGGGGCCGGCCCCUCUUCAAUUGUUUUCAUUGUGGUAAAAUACAUAAACCAUAAAUUUUACCAUCAUAACCCUUUUUAAGUGUACAGUUCAAUGGCCUUAAUUAAGUACAUUCAUACAACUGCAACCAUCACUGGCAUCCAUCUAUAGAACUCUCUCCAUCUUGCAAAACUGAAACUUUGUACCUAUUAAACAACAACUCCCCUUUCUCUCCUUUUCCCAGCCCCUGAUAACCACUUCUACUUUCUGUCUCUAUGAAUUGGCACUCUAGGUACCUCAUAGAAGUGGAAUCAUACAGUACUUGUCCUUUAGUAUACACAACCUUUUGCCCAGUAAUUUCAUUGCUGGGACUUUAUCCUAGGGAGAUAGUGCGGGGGACAGGCAUUGGCCACCCCAACAUACGUCUCUUUGGCAUGAGGAUUAUUUGUGGCUGGUUACUCUGCAAACAGGGAAGGAGGCUCUGAGGAGUGGAACUUGCUUACCCUUUGUUAAGAAACAUUUACAUUUGUAAGGGAAAUCUCUAUCUGUAAAGUUGUCUCCCUCUGUACCAGGAAGAAGGGGGAUGACCUUAUCUCUAGAAAAUCUUAAUCAAUGCCAAAGGCAAGGACUUAAAUCUGCAUAAUAAUCUUAUUCCUGUUUCUGGUAACCUUCUGUAAUUGACUCCCCCCACCCCCAACAUCCUCUUUUGUCGUUAGCCGAAGAUGAUAUUUAAGGUGGUGGCUUCAGCCAUUUUGGCGAGUUGCUCAGCUUGCCUGAGCCUCUCCCAUGUAUACAUGUUAUAAAGCUUUGUUUAAUUUUCUCCUGCUAUUCUGUCUCAUGUGAAUUUAAUUCGUUCUCCGGCCAGACAAACCCAGAGAGGGUAGAGGAAAUGUCUUCCUCCCCUACAAUAGUCACAAAUAUGCACAACAAAUUAUGUACAAGAAUCUUCAUCAAAGCAUUGUUAAUAGUCUUUUAAAAAUUAGGGAAAAAAUGCCUGAAUGCUCAAGAGUAGGAAAUUUGAUAAAUAAAGAUUUAUUAAUUAUAUGAAGAAAUACUAUAAAAAUAUUGUGUAGAAGAAAAUGACAUGGAAAAAAGAAUCAUGAUGUAUUAAGCAAAAUUCCUAUCAUUCUAAAGAAGAGUAUAUAUACUGUAUGAUGUCAUUAAUUUUGGAGAAAAACAUUUGCAUAUAUUCUUAAUAUAUUAGCAGUAGUUAUUUAUGGGUAGUGGGUGUUUAUGAGUGGUUUUAAUUUUCAAACCUUUGUUUAUCUACAUUUACUACAAUGAGUAAAUGUUAUUUUUAAUAAGCAAAAGUCACUGAAGAAAGAUUAAGGAAAAUAAGAGAGUUUAAAAACAAGAAUUCUAGGGGCCGGCUCCGUGGCCCAGUGGUUAAAUUCAUGCGCUCCGCUGUGGCGGCCCAGGGUUCGGAUCCUGGGCGCGGACAUGGCACUGCUUGUCAGGCCACGUUGAGGCGGCGUCCCACAUCCCACAACUAGAAGGACGUGCAACUAAGAUAUACAACUGUGUACAGGGGGGGUUUGGGGAGAUAAAAGCAGAAAAAAAAUAAGGAUUCUAAAUUAAGAAUUUAAAAAUAGAAUCGAUCUAAGUAAUUUAAAUAUCUAAAACAUAUACAAAGAAAAUACAAUAUAAAGGCUUGGAAAUAUAAUUAGUAAGCUAUUUUAAGUUAAGCAGAAUAAAUUUAACACUAACAGAAUAACACAAAAUCACCCUUUAUUGAGCUCCCAGUGAAUGCCAGAUGCUGUCUGUGCUAGGUGCUAUAAUACAUCACCUAAAAUGGACUAAUAGGAUAACAAGUUCCUUUAUUUAAAGGAAUCACUGGAUAAUAUGAGGGAAAAGGCAGAAGUAUCUGAGAAGGGCAGGUUUCAGUCCUUUUAGCAGCCUCUCGAUUGGACGCCAUUCCUCCUUGAGAAUCCUUCCUCACAGCCUGGUCUUGGGGACAGACGGCUUCACCAGGAGUCAAGAAGCAAUGCAUUCAAAUGGUUCCUCAGGCUCCAACCCACUCUGCAUAGUUUCUGUCUCUCGUCAGAGCCCUGAGAGACCUCCCUAG